This 236-nucleotide long non-coding RNA is filed under the name Hordeum vulgare. Its description in RNAcentral is "long non-coding RNA (HVUL_LNC021211)". Lineage: Eukaryota; Viridiplantae; Streptophyta; Magnoliopsida; Poales; Poaceae. The record is from RNAcentral.
AAGUUGAUAGAUGAGAUAUACGGUCAAGGAACGAUAGCUAUGUGUAGAGUCUGAACUACUCAUGGGAGAAAAAAAUGACUAUGAUGAAUAGUAGGAUUAUUUUUUUAGUUUUUUGCGUUCAAUUUUUUUCUAGGACAUUAUGAGGCUCUUACAACUCUGCACCACCUGAACGUAUAUAUACACUGUUCCUGAAUUUUGUUCAUAAACAGCUUAACACAAUUGUAAAUCUAUUGACG